CAAUGGUUGGGCUUGAUCAUAGGCUUGAUUUUCAGAUUUUGAACUCGCAUGCUUUCAUUGCUUUGCCAGAAUUUUUAAAAUAUUUCUUCUGAAAGAAAUUUGUUGCUCAAAACCUAAAGGUAAGAAUGAAUAUUUACUUGGCUGAUUAACGAAUAGUAAAAUUUGGUGUAAUCUACUCAUUCUACAGUAAUGAAUAUUAAUUAAUUCAGAUAAUAAAUAAUAUAUACAAAGGCAACUGGGACCGCCGCAAUGCCGUCGGCAAGGUCAUGGACCGCGGAAACAGUAGCGUCCUCACAGAAGGCCGACUUCUUGAUUUUUGUAACUGUUGCAAUGCUGUCACCAUGUUCCUGGCCAAUGUGCUUGCUUGAGGCAUUCAUCCCCCUGAAAAUAUUCAAAAUGGUGGACAUUUAGGGGGGUGAUUGCCUCUCGUAAGCACACUGGCUAAAGAACAUAUUGUCAUGGUGAGUGUAUUUUGAUGACAAAUCAUUGUGUAGUGGUUACGACAAAGGUUCCAACCCUCCCGAUUUGAUCGGGAGGCUCCAGAUUUCUUGGCAAAUCUCCCGAUUUAUAUUUAAACCUCCUGAUUUUACGAAUGAAAAGAAAAAAUGUUACUUUUUCUAAAAGAAUCCUUGUAAAAGCUGUUCGCGUACGGUAAAAACGGUUGUCGGAUCGACAAAAAAGCGGUAUUUCGCCAAGAGGGGUGUUUUGUACGACAAAGUUUCGUAAUAUUUCGCAUGAAAGGCAGAAAUUUACAGUUGUUGUAUUCACGAGUCUCGGAAUCAAGAAAUGACGCUUCUGAAAGAAAGUUUAAAUUUUCUAAAUUUUCUACCCAGUCACACUAGAGGUCAACGUUUUCUUGCCUUUACCAGACCUCCCGAUUUUUGGAGAUGUCAAGUUGGAAUGUCUGGUUACGAGUCAAUCUUCUGUACACUCUCCUCUAUUCUGUGCUGUGUAGCAAUUGGCUGGUGUUGAGAUGACAUAACCUUCCUGGGUGGUUGAGGGGAUGUUCCCCUCAGAAAAUUUUAAAGGGCAUAGGCCCUUUACCAGACUGGUUUUGGCAGGUUUGGUCAAUUGUGGACUAGCAUUUGGUAAUUGCGAGCAAGCCUGGAAAUAAGCAUCCUGUCACGGUAAUUGACCGUGGGGGGUGAACAGGGGUAUACAAAUCCACCCAAAUUUGAAGCAAAAUCCACAAUCCGACAAUGGUCUUGCCUAAAUUUGAAUCCGCUAAAAGCUCUACUAUGAAGUCACAAUCCAGGAUCCGAACUAAAUUGCAAGCUAAAUCCAUAAUCCGAGCCAAAAUAUUAGAUAAAUCCGCAAUCCAUUGAAAACCUAUUCACCCACCCCCCUUGACCGGCACAAAUACACAAUUUGCAGUGUUUUGACAGGCACAAAUUUGAUUAAACUAACCUUCCUGUCAACAAACUCUAUUAUUUGUGCUAUAAAGUUUAAAAUUAUCCGGUUUACUAGAAAAUACAUACAUGCAGAAACUCUCGCCUUACUGACAAAACCAUUGUAUUUUCUGAACAUGAAGUAUCUAAAGUAGUUGUCAUGGUAUAAUCGAUAAUUUUGCAUAUGUUAGAUAUGCUAUUAUACGUAAUAUAAGCUUCAAUUUAAGGUAAAAUUCAACCACAAACGCUUCGCAAAACGUUUUAAAAUGUUCUUUAUAAAACUAAGCUGCUUUUAUUAAAGUUUAAUUAAAUGGCUUUAUCGAUAAACUUUGAGUUUGCAAUAAAAUGAUUUCAAAUUCUCGCAUGUAAAUAACUUUGCUUUCUUUUUUAUUUAAAAAAUUAAAUAUAAUAAAAAAGGGAAUCAAUAUUAAAGAUACACUGAAAAUAUAUGCUGUCUCAGUUUAGUUGUUUCAUAUACGCAAAGCCAAAGGCCGUCGGGUUUUAAAGCUAUUAUAAAAUCAAUAUUUAAAACAAACUUACCUUCAUUAACGUCGGCUCCCUUCUUUUAGCCGAUUCUUUUGCCCUUUCUUUCUGAGAAGGCUUUUGAAAUUUACAAAAUCUUGCAAAAAUGCGAGCAAAAAUGAAAUAUAUUUGCAAGAAAUUUACCAAUCAUCAAAUCAAGAAAUGUUUGCUAUUUCGCUGUCAUCAUGCAGUCGUUAUAAUGCAAACUUUAAAUUGGACCAAUCAGUGUCCGCUAUUCAUGUCAGUCCGCCAUAUUUUUGAGAUCAGUGAGGAUGACCACCCGUGGUUGGUCACCCAUGCCCACGAUUAUUGAUGAACUUUAGACUCCGCUAAUGCUUUCGUUUCCCCGGGUGUACAUAGCCGGGGGGAAUUAGUACCCUCGCACGGCGCUUCGCGCCGUCAGCUCGGGGAUUAAAUACAUGAUGCUUUAAACAUGAUGCCAUGUUUGUGCAGUGUUUCCACUAUGAUAAAAUUUCCUUCUUAUUCGCCUCAUGAUGAAUGAUGAUCAAACUUCCUUCCAAGUCAGAGACGGAUUUUCAUAUUUUUGUUCGGGAGGGUGGAUAAAUAUCUGUGGGUGCUGCUGUUUGCUUUGGCCAGGGCCUGGUGGCAACGCCCGGAAAGGCCAAGGAAAAAGUUCAACAAAAUUUGUUUUAUAGGCCUGCAUGGCAUCUGAGACCAUAAUAUUGGUAAUUUUACAAAUUUAGUAGUAAGAAUAAUCAAAUAUGAAACUAUCAAAUCAAAAUAUAUAUCAUUUGCGGGGGUGCAAAAACUUUUUGGGGCGGUGCCAAAUGCCUCUGGGGGGGUGUGCACCCCCCCCNNNNNNNNNNNNNNNNNNNNCCCCCCCCCCCUCCCGCACUCCCCAGAAAAUCCGUGCUUGUUCCAAGUGGAAACAUCAUUUGCGAGUUUGGCAGGAAUUUUUGUUGAACUUGAACCGCGAAAAAAAUUUAAAUAUCAAAGAAAAUAACUAACUUGGUUGGUUUGUUGGAUGGUUGGUUCAUUUGUCCGAUUUUCAUUAUGCACUUGUUGUGAAAGAUUGCUAAACUCACUUGUUCACUUCACUCACUCGUUCCUUUGCAAUCUUUCAUGGUUCGUGCAUAAAAAUCAUACACGCUCACCAACCAUGCAGUAAUCUCUAUGUAUUUAAUGAUUUUAACCAUUGCAUAUUUUGUAUCCUAUGUUUUUGGCAGUCCGGUACAAUGACCGGUAUGUUUUGUUUCAUGACAGGCACAAAUUCAUUGGUUCUGGACUGCUGGUCAUUUUGACAGGCAGGUCCUCAAAAAUUAUUUCCAGACUUGAUUGCGAGUGUGAAUUUUAUUAGACCUAACCAGGAGUAGUUGCGAAAAAUGCAACCAUAAGCCCUCUGGCAGGAAUCAAACCUGUGGUCCUGUGAUUCCGGUGCAGCGCUCUAACCAACUGAGCUACAGAGGACAGUUGUCAAGCUCUAUAAAAGUCACACUCGCUAUUUCCAUCUAUAAAACCCUUCUACAAAUAGUUAUGGAGAGUGAAAAACCUGAUAUUUACCCAUGCACCUUACAUUGGCUGAUCACCUUAGUUAUAUCCAUGAACUUAUGGUUAGAGCUCAACAACUGUCCUCUGUACCUCAGUUGGUUAGAGCGCUGCACCGGAAUUGCAGGGCUGCAGGUUUGAUUCCUGCCAGAGGACCUAUAGUUGCAUUUUCCUGGUUAGGUCUAGUAAAUAAUAAAAUGUAUAAACUUCAGACUCGAAAUUUCCAUCUACAAAACCCUUCUUUAAAUUAGUUAUCAUCUUGAGUGUAGAUGCCCAAAAAUCUUGAUAUUUAGCAUUUGGUAAGUAUGAUGUCACAUGCAAAAAAAAACAUAAGAUUAAAAAUUUGAAGUUGAUGUUUAAAAAUUAGGAAACUUUAGAGAACAAUUGGGGAAAGAAUGAAAGGAAAUGGGUAGGUGUAUUAAAAAUAUCCAGUAGGGAAUAUGUUAGGUCCGAAAAAAUGUUCCGCCACGUGCUAGUUCUUCUCUCAUGCCAGCAAUGCAAUGAAAUUUGACCUGAAUGACUAGUGACUAGUGCCACAAUUCAUGAAGUUGUUCACUCACAUCAACUGAGUAUGGCAUGAUCCUGUGUAGAAAAGUGCCUGUGUAAUUUUUGCUUUUGUACCGUUCCUAUCCAUUUCUCAUGGUAUGUUCAGAAAGAUAAUCCUUGAAUCUACCGUGAGUUUAGGGUCUCUGUUUGCAUUGUAGAAAACAUUACAUGUUGUUGGGGCAUGGAAAUGUUUAAAUAUAUAGUAAAUGAUAAUUAUCUGAAACAAUUUUAUAGUCAGGACACAUUCUGCUUCUAGAAACUCGCUUUUAGUUUUCAUUGAUUUGAUUACUAUAUUAUCUACAUCAAUAAGACAAUAUGUAACAUAUAAACUAGAGGACUAAUGUAGGUCUUUAGUCCUAUCACUUGCAAAUAUUAUCUUAAUUGUUUCGUUAUGUAAUCUUGUACAUGUAGGGGGAAAAAUAAAAUAAAAAUAACCCAUCCUAUAUGACUCCCACGCCGUUAGUUGAUGGAUACUCUAAAUAAACCAUGUCUGUGUUAUAGACAUGACAUGACAGCUAAGAAAACAAAUCAGUAUAAGGGACGGACCAUUUGAUUUUUCAUGGGGGGGGGGGCGCAAAUCCGAAAAAAAAUAUCGAGCAUGUCUCGAAUGGAAGAAAAAAAAAUCGAACAUCACUAACACCAGCAAAAAAAAAUAUCGAGCACAAAAAAAUUCUAAAUUUAAUAGCAAUACUCUAUAUUGAAAGAAAAAUUCAGUUUCCCUUUCACAUUUCACGGAUAA
RNAcentral lists this long non-coding RNA (4701 nucleotides) under Paramuricea clavata. The stretch from base 3500 to 3572 matches the Rfam family "tRNA". Lineage: Eukaryota; Metazoa; Cnidaria; Anthozoa; Malacalcyonacea; Plexauridae. The record is from RNAcentral.